Cinara cedri is the source of this 322-nucleotide non-coding RNA. NCBI's taxonomy places the organism in Eukaryota, Metazoa, Arthropoda, Insecta, Hemiptera, Aphididae. The record is from the annotation of a GenBank genome assembly.
CUUUCAGUCUGAUAGAAGUACGACUGGAGCGCUAUCGCGACGACCAAAUUUUUAUACAACGAAUUAGACAACAAUAAAAAUGUAAUUGCAGUUUUCUUAGAUCUGGUAAAAGCGUUUGACACGGUUGAUCAUGAUGUACUUCUAAAAAUGUUGCGAAGUUUUAGAAUAGCAAACGAAAGUUUUAUGUGAUUUAAAAGAUACCCUAAUAACAGAAAAAAGGAAACCUCGAUAUACGACGUUCACAGCGAUGAGGGUGUAAUCAAUUUCGGAGUAUCUCAAGACAGUGUUUUAGGACCAGUAUUAUUUAUUUUAUGUAUAAAUA